CUCCUACGGGAGGCAGCAGUGGGGAAUAUUGCACAAUGGGCGGAAGCCUGAUGCAGCAACGCCGCGUGCGGGAUGACGGCCUUCGGGUUGUAAACCGCUUUCGCCUGUGACGAAGCGUGAGUGACGGUAAUGGGUAAAGAAGCACCGGCUAACUACGUGCCAGCAGCCGCGGUGAUACGUAGGGUGCGAGCGUUGUCCGGAUUUAUUGGGCGUAAAGGGCUCGUAGGUGGUUGAUCGCGUCGGAAGUGUAAUCUUGGGGCUUAACCCUGAGCGUGCUUUCUAUACGGGUUGACUUGAGGAAGGUAGGGGAGAAUGGAAUUCCUGGUGGAGCGGUGGAAUGCGCAGAUAUCAGGAGGAACACCAGUGGCGAAGGCGGUUCUCUGGGCCUUUCCUGACGCUGAGGAGCGAAAGCGUGGGGAGCGAACAGGCUUAGAUACCCUGGUAGUCCACGCUGUAAACGGUGGGUACUAGGUGUGGGGUCCAUUCCACGGGUUCCGUGCCGUAGCUAACGCUUUAAGUACCCCGCCUGGGGAGUAUGGCCGCAAGGCUAAAACUCAAAGGAAUUGACGGGGCCCCGCACAAGCGGCGGAGCAUGCGGAUUAAUUCGAUGCAACGCGUAGAACCUUACCUGGGUUUGACAUGGAUCGGGAGUGCUCAGAGAUGGGUGUGCCUCUUUUGGGGUCGGUUCACAGGUGGUGCAUGGCUGUCGUCAGCUCGUGUCGUGAGAUGUUGGGUUAAGUCCCGCAACGAGCGCAACCCUUGUUCACUGUUGCCAGCACGUUAUGGUGGGGACUCAGUGGAGACCGCCGGGGUCAACUCGGAGGAAGGUGGGGAUGACGUCAAGUCAUCAUGCCCCUUAUGUCCAGGGCUUCACGCAUGCUACAAUGGCUGGUACAGAGAGUGGCGAGCCUGUGAGGGUGAGCGAAUCUCGGAAAGCCGGUCUCAGUUCGGAUUGGGGUCUGCAACUCGACCUCAUGAAGUCGGAGUCGCUAGUAAUCGCAGAUCAGCAACGCUGCGGUGAAUACGUUCCCGGGGCUUGCACACACCGCCGU
This 1052-nucleotide ribosomal RNA is filed under the name Propionibacterium sp. enrichment culture clone MRBiofilm-SM-03B. RNAcentral's name for it is "bacterial SSU rRNA". It matches the Rfam family "Bacterial small subunit ribosomal RNA", at positions 336 to 1397 of the family's 1533-position model. The record is from RNAcentral. Lineage: Bacteria; Bacillati; Actinomycetota; Actinomycetes; Propionibacteriales; Propionibacteriaceae.